AUCACUCACAAUCGAAGACUUGCCAUUUGAAACCGGGUCUCUUAGUGGUUUGCGCGUUUUGCGUUACACUAGCAUCCAAGGUCCAAAAGACGCUUUCGUCAGCUGUAAUGGCAUUUCCGAAGGCAUGUCUGACGCAACAUGAGUUAGAGAACAAAGAACCUUAUCAGUGUCAGAAGCAGCAGUAGUGGACAUGGGACAUGAGUCUUUCCUAUGACCAAACUUACCACACUAAAAAUAAAUCAAUUGUAGCCCAUUAUAUUC
Molecule: long non-coding RNA, 261 nt
Filed under: Gossypium barbadense (sea-island cotton)
Lineage: Eukaryota; Viridiplantae; Streptophyta; Magnoliopsida; Malvales; Malvaceae
Description: long non-coding RNA (GBAR_LNC021853)
Source: RNAcentral